UACGGGGGGGGCAAGCGUUGUUCGGAAUUACUGGGCGUAAAGGGCGCGUAGGCGGGUGGAUAAGUCAGCUGUGAAAACCACGGGCUUAACUCGUGGCCUGCAGUUGAGACUGUCUGGCUUGAGUGUGGGAGAGGAGAGUGGAAUUCCUGGUGUAGUGGUGAAAUGCGUAGAUAUCGGGAGGAACACCAGUGGCGAAGGCGGCUUUCUGGUCUGCUCUUGACGCUGAGGCGCGAAAGCUAGGGUAGCAAACGGG
This 253-nucleotide ribosomal RNA is filed under the name uncultured bacterium. RNAcentral describes it as "partial 16S ribosomal RNA". It matches the Rfam family "Bacterial small subunit ribosomal RNA", at positions 524 to 776 of the family's 1533-position model. The record is from RNAcentral.